UACAGAGGUCUCAAGCGUUGUUCGGAUUCAUUGGGCGUAAAGGGUGAGUAGGCGGCGCGGUAAGUCGGGUGUGAAAUCUCGGAGCCUAACUCCGAAACUGCAUUCGAUACUGCCGUGCUUGAGGACUGGAGAGGAGACUGGAAUUUACGGUGUAGCGGUGAAAUGCGUAGAUAUCGUAAGGAAGACCAGUGGCGAAGGCGGGUCUCUGGACAGUUCCUGACGCUGAGGCACGAAGGCCAGGGGAGCAAACGGG
Molecule: ribosomal RNA, 253 nt
Filed under: uncultured bacterium
Lineage: Bacteria
Description: partial 16S ribosomal RNA
Rfam family: Bacterial small subunit ribosomal RNA
Source: RNAcentral